AUUGAACGCUGGCGGCAUGCUUUACACAUGCAAGUCGAACGGCAGCGGGGGCUUCGGCCUGCCGGCGAGUGGCGAACGGGUGAGUAAUGCAUCGGAACGUGCCCAUGUCGUGGGGGAUAACGUAGCGAAAGCUACGCUAAUACCGCAUACGCCCUGAGGGGGAAAGCGGGGGAUUCUUCGGAACCUCGCGCGAUUGGAGCGGCCGAUGUCGGAUUAGCUAGUUGGUGAGAUAACAGCCCACCAAGGCUUCGAUGGGUAGCCGAGCUGAGAGGUUGAUCGGCCACACUGGAACUGAGAUACGGUCCAGACACCUACGGGUGGCAGCAGUAGGGAAUAUUGCGCAAUGGGCGAAAGCCUGACGCAGCGAUGCCGCGUGAGUGAAGAAGGCCCUAGGGUCGUAAAGCUCUUUUCUGAGGGAAGAAUGGUCCGGGUAGGAAAUGAUCUGGAUUUGACGGUACCUCAGGAAUAAGGAACGGCUAACUCCGUGCCAGCA
RNAcentral lists this ribosomal RNA (493 nucleotides) under uncultured bacterium. Its description in RNAcentral is "bacterial SSU rRNA". It matches the Rfam family "Bacterial small subunit ribosomal RNA", at positions 29 to 513 of the family's 1533-position model. The record is from RNAcentral.